RNAcentral lists this ribosomal RNA (381 nucleotides) under uncultured bacterium. RNAcentral describes it as "bacterial SSU rRNA". It matches the Rfam family "Bacterial small subunit ribosomal RNA", at positions 28 to 412 of the family's 1533-position model. The record is from RNAcentral.
GACGAACGCUGGCGGCGUGCUUAACACAUGCAAGUCGAGCGGUAAGGCCCUUUUGGGGGUACACGAGCGGCGAACGGGUGAGUAACACGUGGGUGACCUGCCCUCAGCUCUGGGAUAAGCCUGGGAAACUGGGUCUAAUACUGGAUAUGACCUUUCCUCGCAUGGGGUUGGGUGGAAAGUUUUUCGGCUGGGGAUGGGCCCGCGGCCUAUCAGCUUGUUGGUGGGGUGAUGGCCUACCAAGGCGACGACGGGUAGCCGGCCUGAGAGGGCGACCGGCCACACUGGGACUGAGACACGGCCCAGACUCCUACGGGAGGCAGCAGUGGGGAAUAUUGCGCAAUGGGCGGAAGCCUGACGCAGCGACGCCGCGUGGGGGAGUGA